CCCCCGACUCUUCCUUCUCUCUCUAACCUAAUCGCCGUUCUUCUUCUUCAUCGUCUUGGCCACGAUCUGACCGGCGCGUGACGGCUCCCACAGCGUCGGCGUCGGUCCUCUCUUUCAUGUAUUGUCUUUGAUUUCUUAGGUCUUGGAAGCGUGGUUGUUUUGGCGAGUUGGUUUGGGUUAUUGUUGAAUUUCAGAUCUGAUGGAGUUUGGUUCUAGGAGAUUGGAAUCGAAAGGGCUUUUGAUCGAUGGUGAUGAUGGAAUCGUCGUUCUCACUAUCGCAUCUAUGUGUGGUGCCUCUUCUUGUCCCUGACCACUUGCUUCAUUGUGUUUGGAGCAUCUAUGGCUUCUUCUGAUCUGAACAACGGCUCUGUUUUCUCGGUGGCUUUGAUUGGUUCACUUUGUCCGCGUGUAAGAGUUGGUGCUCCUCUUUGACUUAUCCCCAGCCGUUUUUCAAAGGUUCUUUGUGCCUGGUUUCGCUCGAGCUCAUUUCCAUGGUGGAAAUGGCAUGAUGGUGUUUGUUGCUGUGCUCUUUUUUCGGAUUGAUCUCGCUCUCUGUUCUGUCGGAUUGUUGCUGGUUGAGCCUUCAGAUUCGUUCUUCUUCGGGAUCUCCGGUCUAUUGGAGUUUGCAUGUUUGGUUGUUUCUUCUUGAGGCUCAUGUUUCUUGGUUUCAACUCCGACGCCAACCGUUUCUCUGGGAUUGUUUGCGGGUUAUGAUGGUUUCGAGUCUCAGAUUUAGUUCUUUGGUUCCUUUUGAGUUUACCUUCUUGUACCUUUUUGUUUAUAGUUUGCUUCCCUCUUUUGGGCUUAGUUUCCCGGGGAUAUUUAUGUCUUCCGCCGGCUUAGUUUCCGAAAGAGUUUCGACUCUUGUCGGUCUUGUAUUUCAAAACCGUAUUCUACCCUCGUAUAAUAUAAUGGAAUCAUUCAGACGAAAAAAAAAAAAA
Arabidopsis lyrata subsp. lyrata is the source of this 941-nucleotide long non-coding RNA. RefSeq lists it as uncharacterized. Lineage: Eukaryota; Viridiplantae; Streptophyta; Magnoliopsida; Brassicales; Brassicaceae. The record is from RefSeq and is a predicted model, not a curated record. The transcript is spliced from 2 exons.